Molecule: unclassified non-coding RNA, 725 nt
Filed under: Megachile rotundata (alfalfa leafcutting bee)
Lineage: Eukaryota; Metazoa; Arthropoda; Insecta; Hymenoptera; Megachilidae
Description: bAG domain-containing protein Samui-like, transcript variant X2
Source: RNAcentral
UCUCAUUCUAAUUCAACUUGUACUGCACUUGUUAUAUAUAGAAGGUGCAAGGUUAAUCUCGAUAAGUAUUCUAUAUAUUGUUCCGCGAUGGAUUAACGAAACAGAUAAUUACUAACCGCAUAGGAUUUACAUAAAAAAAUCCUCUGCUUACAUAAAUGAUUUUGUCCUAUAGUUAACGUUAAAUUUCGCAAACUAAGUCUACUCGUAUACCGAUUUAAAUGCGAAAAAUAAAAUCGAACAGUACUUUCGGAACUCGGAAGCGCGAGCCGAAUACAUCGACAUCGUUUAUUUCGUUGAUCUCGUAGGCUGUCGAAACGCGAUGUUACGCGCAGUCCGCAGAUGCUACUUUUUGCCGAUGUAUUGCCAUUCGAUCGAUUACAUAAUCCGUAUCCCAUAGGGGGCCUGAAGUGAGUCAUCCGUCCAGCAAACUUAACUCGUGCGUUCACGGUGCGCAAUGAAUCGACGCGACGAUGUUUCUUCGAGUGCGAGAUGUGUAGGAUUACUCUUAAUUUAUCGAGCCUAAUUACGUUCGAUACUUUCCGCCGCAUAACUUAUCCUGUAGAACCUAACGGUAAUCAAAUGGUUCGCUAUUCGCGAGAACGCGACAAGCACGGACUCUCUUCUUCUUACGUGCCUAGGGUUUUCCAUUCGACGACGAAGGGUUUGGUCGUCGCAGCGACAUUCGAGCCCACUUGGACGACUUAGCAGCCCGUCAUCCAGAGUUC